This 265-nucleotide ribosomal RNA is filed under the name uncultured archaeon. RNAcentral's name for it is "partial 16S ribosomal RNA". It matches the Rfam family "Archaeal small subunit ribosomal RNA", at positions 717 to 982 of the family's 1478-position model. The record is from RNAcentral.
ACACGACCACAUUAGAUACCCGCGUAGUCCUAGCCGUAAACGAUACUCGCUAGGUGUCGGCCACGGUGCGACCGUUGUCGGUGCCGUAGGGAAGCCGUGAAGCGAGCCACCUGGGAAGUACGGCCGCAAGGCUGAAACUUAAAGGAAUUGGCGGGGGAGCACAACAACGGGUGGAGCUUGCGGUUUAAUUGGAUUCAACGCCGGAAAUCUUACCGGGACCGACAGCAACAUGAAGGCCAAGCUGAAGACUUUGCCGGAUUAGCUG